Molecule: long non-coding RNA, 349 nt
Organism: Telopea speciosissima
Lineage: Eukaryota; Viridiplantae; Streptophyta; Magnoliopsida; Proteales; Proteaceae
Exons: 2
Source: RefSeq, a predicted model, not a curated record
AUAAAUAAAAAACCCUCUUCUCGUCUCCAUCUUCAGUCUUUAAUUCCUCUUACAGAGAAGCAAGAUUCCUUAAGUGGUAGCCAUGAUGAGAGGGUUUAGUUGGUGCAUCUUCUUGACCAUGUUGGUCCUUCUUGCAUCCGUGGAGAUGAGGGUACAAGUUGAAGCAAGGACGUGUGACACUCUGAGCCAUAGUUUCAAGGGACUGUGCUACGACAGCAACCUCUGUGCUCUAACGUGUAAGAACGAGGGACACCAUACCGGCGGCCAUUGCCGAGGAUUCCGACGUCGAUGUUUCUGCCAGAAACGCUGUUGAUUGCUCGAUCAAAUAAUGCAUGCACUGUUUCAGAAA